GACGGACGCUGGCGGCGUGCUUAACACAUGCAAGUCGAACGAGAAUCUGUGGAAAGAGGAUUCAUCCAAUUGAAACAGAGGACAGUGGCGGACGGGUGAGUAACGCGUGAGGAACCUGCCUUUCAGAGGGGACGAACAGUUGGAAACGACUGCUAAUACCGCAUAACGCAUAGAAGUCGCAUGGCUUUUUAUGCCAAAGAUUUAUCGCUGAAAGAUGGCCUCGCGUCUGAUUAGCUAGUUGGUGAGGUAACGGCCCACCAAGGCGACGAUCAGUAGCCGGACUGAGAGGUUGAACGGCCACAUUGGGACUGAGAUACGGCCCAGACUCCUACGGGAGGCAGCAGUGGGGAAUAUUGGGCAAUGGGCGCAAGCCUGACCCAGCAACGCCGCGUGAAGGAAGAAGGCUUUCGGUUGUAAACUUCUUUUGUCAGGGACGGGAGAGACGGUACCUGACGAAUAAGCCACGGCUAAACUACGUGCCAGCAGCCGCCGU
Molecule: ribosomal RNA, 493 nt
Filed under: uncultured bacterium
Lineage: Bacteria
Description: bacterial SSU rRNA
Rfam family: Bacterial small subunit ribosomal RNA
Source: RNAcentral